Molecule: ribosomal RNA, 253 nt
Filed under: uncultured bacterium
Lineage: Bacteria
Description: partial 16S ribosomal RNA
Rfam family: Bacterial small subunit ribosomal RNA
Source: RNAcentral
UACGGGGGGGGCAAGCGUUGUUCGGAAUUACUGGGCGUAAAGGGCGCGUAGGCGGCCUGCUAAGUCGAACGUGAAAUCCCUGGGCUCAACCCAGGAACUGCGUCCGAUACUGGUUGGCUUGAAUCCGGGAGAGGGAUGUGGAAUUCCAGGUGUAGCGGUGAAAUGCGUAGAUAUCUGGAGGAACACCGGUGGCGAAGGCGACAUCCUGGACCGGUAUUGACGCUGAGGCGCGAAAGCCAGGGGAGCAAACGGG